AAACUCUGAUAAUCAGUGUCGUCCGAGUCAUAUUCAAUAACUAAAACUUUCAACAACGGAUCUCUUGGUUCUGGCAUCGAUGAAGAACGCAGCGAAAUGCGAUAAGUAAUGUGAAUUGCAGAAUUCAGUGAAUCAUCGAAUCUUUGAACGCACAUUGCGCCCCUUGGUAUUCCGAGGGGCAUACCUGUUCGAGCGUCAU
Molecule: ribosomal RNA, 199 nt
Filed under: Lobaria pseudopulmonaria
Lineage: Eukaryota; Fungi; Ascomycota; Lecanoromycetes; Peltigerales; Lobariaceae
Description: 5.8S ribosomal RNA
Rfam family: 5.8S ribosomal RNA (bases 45-198)
About the family: 5.8S ribosomal RNA (5.8S rRNA) is a component of the large subunit of the eukaryotic ribosome. It is transcribed by RNA polymerase I as part of the 45S precursor that also contains 18S and 28S rRNA.
Source: RNAcentral